This 317-nucleotide unclassified non-coding RNA is filed under the name uncultured fungus. RNAcentral describes it as "partial contains 5.8S ribosomal RNA and internal transcribed spacer 2". The stretch from base 1 to 133 matches the Rfam family "5.8S ribosomal RNA", at positions 22 to 154 of the family's 154-position model. The record is from RNAcentral. Lineage: Eukaryota; Fungi.
UGGUUCUGGCUUCGAUGAAGAACGCAGCGAAAUGCGAUAAGUAAUGUGAAUUGCAGAAUUCAGUGAAUCAUCGAAUCUUUGAACGCGCAUUGCGCCCCUUGGUAUUUCGAGGGGCAUGCCUGUUCGAGCGUCAUUACACCCCUCAAGCACUGCUUGGUCUUGGGCUCCGCCGCUCACCCGGCGGGCCUCAAAACGAGUGGCGGCGCCAUCAGGCUCUGAGCGUAGUAAAUUUCCUCGCUACGGAGUCCUGGUGGACGCUGGCCACCAACCCCCAACUCUCUAAGUUUGACCUCGGAUCAGGUAGGGAUACCCGCUGA